UACGUAGGGUGCGAGCGUUAAUCGGAAUUACUGGGCGUAAAGCGUGCGCAGGCGGUUGGUUAAGUCUGAUGUGAAAGCCCCGGGCUCAACCUGGGAAUGGCAUUGGAAACUGGCUGGCUAGAGUGUGGCAGAGGGGGGUGGAAUUCCGCGUGUAGCAGUGAAAUGCGUAGAGAUGCGGAGGAACACCGAUGGCGAAGGCAGCCCUCUGGGCUAGCACUGACGCUCAGGCACGAAAGCGUGGGGAGCAAACAGG
RNAcentral lists this ribosomal RNA (253 nucleotides) under uncultured bacterium. Its description in RNAcentral is "partial 16S ribosomal RNA". It matches the Rfam family "Bacterial small subunit ribosomal RNA", at positions 524 to 776 of the family's 1533-position model. The record is from RNAcentral.